RNAcentral lists this ribosomal RNA (496 nucleotides) under uncultured bacterium. RNAcentral describes it as "partial 16S ribosomal RNA". It matches the Rfam family "Bacterial small subunit ribosomal RNA", at positions 28 to 507 of the family's 1533-position model. The record is from RNAcentral.
GACGAACGCUGGCGGCGUGCCUAAUACAUGCAAGUAGAACGCUGAAGAGAGGAGCUUGCUCUUCUUGGAUGAGUUGCGAACGGGUGAGUAACGCGUAGGUAACCUGCCUUGUAGCGGGGGAUAACUAUUGGAAACGAUAGCUAAUACCGCAUAACAAUGGAUGACACAUGUCAUUUAUUUGAAAGGGGCAAUUGCUCCACUACAAGAUGGACCUGCGUUGUAUUAGCUAGUAGGUGAGGUAAUGGCUCACCUAGGCGACGAUACAUAGCCGACCUGAGAGGGUGAUCGGCCACACUGGGACUGAGACACGGCCCAGACUCCUACGGGAGGCAGCAGUAGGGAAUCUUCGGCAAUGGGGGCAACCCUGACCGAGCAACGCCGCGUGAGUGAAGAAGGUUUUCGGAUCGUAAAGCUCUGUUGUAAGUCAAGAACGGGUGUGAGAGUGGAAAGUUCACACUGUGACGGUAGCUUACCAGAAGGGACGGCUAACUACGUG